This 468-nucleotide ribosomal RNA is filed under the name uncultured bacterium. Its description in RNAcentral is "partial 16S ribosomal RNA". It matches the Rfam family "Bacterial small subunit ribosomal RNA", at positions 28 to 507 of the family's 1533-position model. The record is from RNAcentral.
GACGAACGCUGGCGGCGUGCUUAACACAUGCAAGUCGAACGGAAAGGCCCUGCUUUUGUGGGGUGCUCGAGUGGCGAACGGGUGAGUAACACGUGAGUAACCUGCCCUUGACUUUGGGAUAACUUCAGGAAACUGGGGCUAAUACCGGAUAGGAGCUCCUGCUGCAUGGUGGGGGUUGGAAAGUUUCGGCGGUUGGGGAUGGACUCGCGGCUUAUCAGCUUGUUGGUGGGGUAGUGGCUUACCAAGGCUUUGACGGGUAGCCGGCCUGAGAGGGUGACCGGCCACAUUGGGAUUGAGAUGCGGCCCAGACUCCUACGGGAGGCAGCAGUGGGGAAUAGUGCACUAUGGGCGGAAGCCUGAUGCAGCAACGCCGCGUGGGGGAUGACGGCCUUCGGGUUGUAAACCGCUUUCGCCUGUGACGAAGCGUGAGUGACGGUAAUGGGUAAAGAAGCACCGGCUAACUACGUG